Molecule: ribosomal RNA, 341 nt
Filed under: Hepatozoon canis
Lineage: Eukaryota; Apicomplexa; Hepatozoidae
Description: SSU rRNA
Rfam family: Eukaryotic small subunit ribosomal RNA
Source: RNAcentral
AUGAUAGAAAUUUAAACCCUUUUUAAAGUAUCAAUUGGAGGGCAAGUCUGGUGCCAGCAGCCGCGGUAAUUCCAGCUCCAAUAGCGUAUAUUAAAAUUGUUGCAGUUAAAAAGCUCGUAGUUGAAGUUCUGCUAAAAGUAACCGGUCUGCUUUUAAUAAAAGUGGUAUCUUGGUGUGUAUUUAGCAAUGAUGUCCUUUGAAGUGUUUUUUACUUUAUUGUAAUAAAGCAUAUUCAGGACUUUUACUUUGAGAAAAUUAGAGUGUUUCUAGCAGGCCGACGCUUUGAAUACUGCAGCAUGGAAUAAUAAGAUAGGAUUUUAGUUCUACAUUAUUGGUUUUAA